This 292-nucleotide ribosomal RNA is filed under the name uncultured bacterium. RNAcentral describes it as "partial 16S ribosomal RNA". It matches the Rfam family "Bacterial small subunit ribosomal RNA", at positions 338 to 622 of the family's 1533-position model. The record is from RNAcentral.
CCUACGGGGCGCAGCAGUAGGGAAUCUUCCACAAUGGACGAAAGUCUGAUGGAGCAACGCCGCGUGAGUGAAGAAGGGUUUUGGCUCGUAAAGCUCUGUUGGUAGUGAAGAAAGAUAGAGGGAGUAACUGGCCUUUAUUUGACGGUAAUUACUUAGAAAGUCACGGCUAACUACGUGCCAGCAGCCGCGGUAAUACGUAGGUGGCAAGCGUUGUCCGGAUUUAUUGGGCGUAAAGCGAGUGCAGGCGGUUCAAUAAGUCUGAUGUGAAAGCCUUCGGGCUAACCGGAGAAAU